Molecule: transfer RNA, 62 nt
Filed under: Cordylochernes scorpioides
Lineage: Eukaryota; Metazoa; Arthropoda; Arachnida; Pseudoscorpiones; Chernetidae
Description: tRNA-Leu
Source: RNAcentral
UGCAUCGGCCGGGAAUUGAACCCGCGUGGCAGGCGAGAAUUUUACCACUGAACCACCGAUGC